GAAAGUAAGAAAGGGCGUAUGGCGGAUGCCUAGGCUCACGGAGGCGAUGAAGGACGUGAUAAGCUGCGAUAAGCUUCGGGUAGGUGCAAAUAACCCUUGAUCCGAAGAUUUCCGAAUGGGACAACCUAGCCGUCUGAAGGACGGUUACUCUUACCAAUGUAAGAGAGCUAACGCAGGGAACUGAAACAUCUUAGUACCUGCAGGAAGAGAAAAUAAAUGAAUGAUUCCCCCAGUAGUGGCGAGCGAACGGGGAACAGCCCAAACCGUUGACGUCGCAAGGCGCCAGCGGGGUUGUAGGACCGCGACAUUGUACUGAAAUGGUGAGUGGAAGUAUCUGGAAAGUUACAUCACAGAAGGUGAUAAUCCUGUACACGAAGCCAGAUCAGGCAUAGCGGUAUCCUGAGUAACGCGGGACACGAGGAAUCCUGCGCGAAUCUGCCGGGACCAUCCGGUAAGGCUAAAUACUCCCGUGAGACCGAUAGCGAACGAGUACUGUGAAGGAAAGGUGAAAAGAACCCCGAGCAGGGGAGUGAAAUAGUUCCUGAAACCAUACGCCUACAAGCGGUCGGAGCAUCGCAAGAUGUGACGGCGUGCCUUUUGCAUAAUGAUCCUACGAGUUACCGUCACUGGCGAGGUUGAGUGUCAUAAGACACGUAGCCGCAGUGAAAGCGAGCCUGAACAGGGCGCACAGUCAGUGGGGGUAGACGCGAAACCAAGUGAUCUACACUUGGCCAGGAUGAAGUCCCGGUAACACGGGAUGGAGGUCCGCACCAAUAAGCGUUGAAAAGCUUCUGGAUGAGCCGAGUGUAGGAGUGAAAGGCCAAUCAAACUUGGAGAUAGCUCGUACUCCCCGAAAGGCAUUUAGGUGCCGCGUCGGAUGGUCACCGUGAGAGGUAGAGCGACCGAUAGGACAAGAGGGCUUCACCGCCUAUCGAGUCCUGACGAACUCCGAAUGCUCACGGUCUGCAGUCCGGCAGUAAGGGGGCGGGUGCUAAGGUCCGUCCCCGAGAGGAGAAGAAUCCAGACCGCCGUCUAAGGUCCCGGAGUUCUGCCUGAGUUAGUCUAACGAAGUCUGGUCCCUAUGACAGCUAGGAUGUUGGCUUGGAAGCAGCCAUUCAUUCAAAGAGUGCGUAACAGCUCACUAGUCGAGGGUCCGGGCAUGGAUAAUAAUCGGGUAUAAGGCAGACACCGAAGGCGCGGGAUAGCAUUUAAGAAAGUAUCGGUAGGGGAGCAUACUCACAGCGUCGAAUGGUGUACGUAAGUUAUCCUGGAGCGGUGAGUAAAGCAAAUGUAGGAAUAAGUAACGAUAAGGAGGGUCAGAUUCCCUCCCGCUGUAAGACCAAGGUUUCCCGGGCAAUGCCAAUCAGCCCGGGGUCAGUCGGGUCCUAAGUCUAAGCCGAACGGCGAUGGCGAUGGCAGAGACGGUUAAUAUUCCGUCACUGCCGCAUGGGGCGACGUGGAGACGGAGCAGUGAAACCACCGCGGGGCGACGGAAGUCCCCGUUGAAGAGUGUAGGCGUUGAGGAUGGCAGGCAAAUCCACCAUCCGAGCUGAACUUGAGAGUACGGAGUCCUCCUCGGAGGAAUCUGAUAGUGUGGGUAAUCAUACUCCCGAGAAAAUCCGCUAAGCUUAACCCAUGCGGCACCCGUACCGCAAACGGACACACGUGGUCGGGUAGAACAUACUAAGGCGUUGAGAGAUUCAUGGUUAAGGAACUAGGCAAAUUGACCCUGUAACUUCGGGAUAAAGGGUCCUCGUGAUGAGCGAGGCGCAGAGAAUAGGUCCAGGCAACUGUUUAACAAAAACACAGGGCUGUGCAAACUCGAAAGAUGACGUAUACAGCCUGACACCUGCCCGGUGCCGGAAGGUUAAGAGGAGAUGUCACUCGCAAGAGGAAGCAUUGAAUUGAAGCCCCGGUAAACGGCGGCCGUAACUAUAACGGUCCUAAGGUAGCGAAAUUCCUUGUCGGGU
This 1970-nucleotide ribosomal RNA is filed under the name human gut metagenome. RNAcentral's name for it is "bacterial LSU rRNA". It matches the Rfam family "Bacterial large subunit ribosomal RNA", at positions 1 to 1977 of the family's 2925-position model. The record is from RNAcentral.